GAUGAACGCUGGCGGCGUGCCUAACACAUGCAAGUCGAACGGAGUCCAGCCUUUAAGACCUUCGGGUCAAAGAGGGGAAGCCUGAGUGGCGGACGGGUGAGUAACACGUGGGCAACCUGGCUCAUAGAGGGGGAUAACAGAGAGAAAUUUCUGCUAAUACCGCAUAAGCACACACUGCCGCAUGGCAGAGGGUGAAAAGAGAAUCGCUAUGAGAUGGACCCGCGUCUGAUUAGCCAGUUGGCAGGGUAAGAGCCUACCAAAGCGACGAUCAGUAGCCGAUCUGAGAGGAUGAACGGCCACAUUGGGACUGAGACACGGCCCAAACUCCUACGGGAGGCAGCAGUGGGGGAUAUUGCACAAUGGGGGGAACCCUGAUGCAGCGACGCCGCGUGAGUGAAGAAGUAUUUCGGUAUGUAAAGCUCUAUCAGCAGGGAAGAUAAUGACAGUACCUGAAGAAGAAGCCCCGGCUAACUACGUG
This 478-nucleotide ribosomal RNA is filed under the name uncultured bacterium. RNAcentral's name for it is "partial 16S ribosomal RNA". It matches the Rfam family "Bacterial small subunit ribosomal RNA", at positions 28 to 507 of the family's 1533-position model. The record is from RNAcentral.